CAGCAGCCGCGGUAAUACGGAGAGUGCUAGCGUUGUUCGGAAUUACUGGGCUUAAAGGGCGUGUAGGCGGAAAAGCAAGUGUCGGGUGAAAUCCCUCGGCUCAACCGGGGAACUGCCAGGCAAACUGCUUUUCUUGAGGCAGGUAGAGGUGAGUGGAACAACUGGUGGAGCGGUGAAAUGCGUAGAUAUCAGUUGGAACGCCGGUGGCGAAAGCGGCUCACUGGACCUGUCCUGACGCUGAGACGCGAAAGCGUGGGUAGCGAACAGGAUUAGAUACCCUGGUAGUCCACGCCGUAAACGAUGCGCACUAGGUAUGAGAGGUUCUGACACCCCUCGUGCCGAAGGAAAACUGCUAAGUGCGCCGCCUGGGGAGUACGGCCGCAAGGCUAAAACUCAAAGGAAUUGACGGGGGCUCACACAAGCGGUGGAGCAUGUGGAUUAAUUCGAAGCAACGCGAAGAACCCUACCUGGGUUUGACAUGCACGGAUGCCCUUUGGGAAACCAGAGUAAGCUGCCUUCGGGUGAAACGUGCACAGGUGCUGCAUGGCUGUCGUCAGCUCGUGCUGUGAAGUGUCGGGUUAAGUCCCUUAACGAGCGAAACCCCUAUCGUUAGUUGCCAGCGGGUCAUGCCGGGAACCCUAGCGAGACCGCCGGUGUCAAACCGGAGGAAGGUGGGGACGACGUCAAGUCAUCAUGGCCUUUAUGCCCAGGGUGUCUCACGUGCUACAAUGGUCGGUACAGAGCGACGCGAUACCGCGAGGUGGAGCAAAUCGCAGAAAACCGGCCUCAGUUCGGAUUGGAGUCUGCAACCCGACUCCAUGAAGCUGGAAUCGCUAGUAAUCGCGGAUCAGCCAUGCCGCGGUGAAUAUGUUCCUGAGCCUUGUACACACCGCCCGUCAAGUCAUGGAAGCUGGGAGUACCCGAAGUCCGCUUAGCUAACCGCAAGGAAGCGGCGGCCGACGGUAAGCCCGGUGACUGGGACUAAGUCGUAACAAGGUAGCCGUA
Molecule: ribosomal RNA, 1005 nt
Filed under: uncultured Planctomycetota bacterium
Lineage: Bacteria; Pseudomonadati; Planctomycetota
Description: bacterial SSU rRNA
Rfam family: Bacterial small subunit ribosomal RNA
Source: RNAcentral